Molecule: ribosomal RNA, 239 nt
Filed under: uncultured bacterium
Lineage: Bacteria
Description: partial 16S ribosomal RNA
Rfam family: Bacterial small subunit ribosomal RNA
Source: RNAcentral
GAUCCUAGCUCAGGAUGAACGCUGGCGGCGCGCCUAACACAUGCAAGUCGAACGGACGAUGCCCCUUCGGGGACAAAGUCAGUGGCGGACGGGUGAGUAACGCGUGAGUAACCUGCCCUUAUGAGUGGAAUAACGUUUGGAAACGGACGCUAAUACCGCAUGACGCAGCGAUACGGCAUCGUAUUGCUGCCAAAGAUUUAUCGCAUAAGGAUGGACUCGCGUCCCAUUAGAUAGUUGGG